RNAcentral lists this ribosomal RNA (1131 nucleotides) under Lactiplantibacillus plantarum. Its description in RNAcentral is "bacterial SSU rRNA". It matches the Rfam family "Bacterial small subunit ribosomal RNA", at positions 62 to 1170 of the family's 1533-position model. Lineage: Bacteria; Bacillati; Bacillota; Bacilli; Lactobacillales; Lactobacillaceae. The record is from RNAcentral.
UCGAACGAACUCUGGUAUUGAUUGGUGCUUGCAUCAUGAUUUACAUUUGAGUGAGUGGCGAACUGGUGAGUAACACGUGGGAAACCUGCCCAGAAGCGGGGGAUAACACCUGGAAACAGAUGCUAAUACCGCAUAACAACUUGGACCGCAUGGUCCGAGUUUGAAAGAUGGCUUCGGCUAUCACUUUUGGAUGGUCCCGCGGCGUAUUAGCUAGAUGGUGGGGUAACGGCUCACCAUGGCAAUGAUACGUAGCCGACCUGAGAGGGUAAUCGGCCACAUUGGGACUGAGACACGGCCCAAACUCCUACGGGAGGCAGCAGUAGGGAAUCUUCCACAAUGGACGAAAGUCUGAUGGAGCAACGCCGCGUGAGUGAAGAAGGGUUUCGGCUCGUAAAACUCUGUUGUUAAAGAAGAACAUAUCUGAGAGUAACUGUUCAGGUAUUGACGGUAUUUAACCAGAAAGCCACGGCUAACUACGUGCCAGCAGCCGCGGUAAUACGUAGGUGGCAAGCGUUGUCCGGAUUUAUUGGGCGUAAAGCGAGCGCAGGCGGUUUUUUAAGUCUGAUGUGAAAGCCUUCGGCUCAACCGAAGAAGUGCAUCGGAAACUGGAAAACUUGAGUGCAGAAGAGGACAGUGGAACUCCAUGUGUAGCGGUGAAAUGCGUAGAUAUAUGGAAGAACACCAGUGGCGAAGGCGGCUGUCUGGUCUGUAACUGACGCUGAGGCUCGAAAGUAUGGGUAGCAAACAGGAUUAGAUACCCUGGUAGUCCAUACCGUACACGAUGAAUGCUAAGUGUUGGAGGGUUUCCGCCCUUCAGUGCUGCAGCUAACGCAUUAAGCAUUCCGCCUGGCGAGUACGGCCGCAAGGCUGACACUCAAAGGAAUUGACGGGGGCCCGCACAAGCGGUGGAGCAUGUGGUUUAAUUCGAAGCUACGCGAAGAACCUUACCAGGUCUUGACAUACUAUGCAAAUCUAAGAGAUUAGACGUUCCCUUCGGGACAUGGAUACAGGUGUGCAUGGUGUCGUCAGCUCGUGUCGUGAGAAGUGGGUAAGUCCCGCAAGAGCCCACCCUUAUUAUCAGUGCCAGCCUUAAGUGGGCACUCUGUGGGACUGCCGCUACAAACCGGAGAA